AAGUAGGAGGGGAGAUUCUCACCAUGAGGUAGAGAAUCUUGGAAUGGGAGACUAUGAUGGGGACUAUUCUUUUAGAAGACAUAGGAGGGAAACUCAAGAACCUCCUCCCCCUAGAGAAGUCAAUAUUAACUUGCCUCAUUUCCAUGGAAAGGAUGAUGUAGAGGCCUUCUUAGAUUGGCAAAUGAAGGUGGAGCAACUUUU
This 201-nucleotide long non-coding RNA is filed under the name Vigna radiata. RNAcentral describes it as "long non-coding RNA (VRAD_LNC017901)". The record is from RNAcentral. Lineage: Eukaryota; Viridiplantae; Streptophyta; Magnoliopsida; Fabales; Fabaceae.